RNAcentral lists this ribosomal RNA (391 nucleotides) under uncultured bacterium. RNAcentral's name for it is "bacterial SSU rRNA". It matches the Rfam family "Bacterial small subunit ribosomal RNA", at positions 370 to 772 of the family's 1533-position model. The record is from RNAcentral.
AAUGGGGUAACCCCUGAUCCAGCCAUGCCGCGUGAGUGAUGAAGGCCUUCGGGUUGUAAAGCUCUUUUAGUAGGGAAGAAGGGAAACUUGACUGUACCUACAGAAAAAGCACCGGCUAACUCUGUGCCAGCAGCCGCGGUAAUACAGAGGGUGCAAGCGUUGUUCGGAAUUAUUGGGCGUAAAGCGCGUGUAGGCGGUCGAAUAAGUCUGGUGUGAAAGCCCGGGGCUCAACCCCGGAAGUGCACUGGAUACUGUUUGACUAGAGGACGAGAGAGGAGAGUGGAAUUCCUGGUGUAGGGGUGAAAUCCGUAGAUAUCAGGAGGAACAUCUGUGGCGAAGGCGGCUCUCUGGCUCGUUUCUGACGCUGAGACGCGAAAGCGUGGGGAGCAAA